UACAGAGGGUGCGAGCGUUGUCCGGAAUCACUGGGCGUAAAGGGCGUGUAGGUGGUUUCGUAAGUCUGGCGUGAAAUUUUUCGGCUUAACCGGGAAAGGUCGUCGGAUACUGCAGAACUAGAGGACGGUAGAGGCGUGUGGAAUUCCGGGUGUAGUGGUGAAAUGCGUAGAGAUCCGGAGGAACACCAGUGGCGAAGGCGACACGCUGGGCCGUACCUGACACUGAUGCGCGACAGCAUGGGGAGCAAACAGG
Molecule: ribosomal RNA, 253 nt
Filed under: uncultured bacterium
Lineage: Bacteria
Description: partial 16S ribosomal RNA
Rfam family: Bacterial small subunit ribosomal RNA
Source: RNAcentral